Peromyscus eremicus (cactus mouse) is the source of this 2659-nucleotide RNA transcript. It is a transcript of the gene named C-type lectin domain family 2 member D11-like, with no coding region annotated. NCBI's taxonomy places the organism in Eukaryota, Metazoa, Chordata, Mammalia, Rodentia, Cricetidae. The transcript has 6 exons. The record is from RefSeq and is a predicted model, not a curated record.
GUCUCAAAACUCAGACUUGUAGCAACAUCGGGCUCUCACCUAUCCAAAAGAUCACUGUCUGACUGUGUGGUAGUACACGGAAGGGCUAGUAAUUCAGAAGGAGGAGCGACUGCAACAGCACACAGGCGGAGCCAACCGUCCACGGUAUUUCUUCCUCUCAGCUGCUAAGUUUCUAUCUUCCUGUGGCUGAAACAGCGUCUAGGCUCCGAGAUGGGUGCUGCAGAGACUGCAGAGGCUUCUGUGGGCAUGCUCAGUACCACAGACCGCCUGAAGGAGGGUAAAAAGCUCCAAGUACAUUGUCUCAGGAUCAUCUCCCCUGAGUCCCCUGCAAAGCUCUACGGCUGCUAUGCAGUGAUCGCUGUCCUCACUGCAGCUGUAAUUGCACUGACUGUUACACUGUCAGCAAAGGAAGAACAGUUCUCAUCCAAAACUACCUAUGCUGUUUGCCCAAGAGACUGGGUUGGAUUUGGGAGUAAAUGUUUUUAUUUUUCUGAAAACACGAGUAAUUGGACAUUCGGCCAUACCUUCUGCAUGGAACGGGAGGCCCAUCUAGCUCGAUUUGACAGUCUGGAGGAGCUGGAUUUCCUGAAGAGAUACAAAGGGAUUUUUGACUACUGGAUUGGCCUGCACAGGAACUCAUCAAGUAAACCUUGGAGAUGGGCAGACAACACUGAAUAUAACAGCUUGGUGUCAAUCAUGAUCUUCAAUAAUUUCCUGUUGAGAUCCAUAGGCCCCUCUGACCAGUAGAUUAGGCAGAGUGGGGGCAAGGCAAACUCUGGGAAUGGAUGAAUGGUUCUGGAUGGACAAGAUGUGGAAAUCAAGACCAUCAGCUUCAUCUGAGUUGAAGUCCACCCAAGUUGAGGUCCAUUCACGCUGCUCAGCCAGCUGUGAGGAGCAGUGUCCACUGAAGAUUGCCACCCUCCUUUACACCAUGCCACCAAAACCCCUUAUGCUUCCCUGACGGACCCCUUCCUGUGUUCAUGUUUGCAGUCUUUUAUUUCCCUCUAGAUCCCACAGAUGAACAUUUGAGACUUGUCUUUCUGAGUGUGGCCCCAGUUUCAUCCAUCUCCCUGCGGUAGUUGUUAAUUCUAAGUAGAUUAUAUAUGUAUUGUAUUUUAUAAAGACUGAGUUAAUACUAGGUUCCUGAUUUCCUCAUCUUGGUUUGUUUAGCUGUUGAAAUGUCCAGUAGCCAAAUGAUUCUGCUUCUUCUGUUGUAUGCUUCGGACCAGAAGAGGAGCAUAUAUUUAUUUGAGAAACAAAGGUACCUUUGGCACUAGACACUUGUGUUAGGCAAGGUCCUCUAGAGAAACAGAAGCAAUAGAAUAUAUAUUAUAAACUAGAUUGUGAUGGCUAACUUCAACUCUCAGCUUGAUACAGCUAGAAUCACCUGGGAAAAGGGUCCUAGUAAGGGAUUUAUUGUGUUGGUUGACUCAGUAUCAGCUGAGUAAUCCAACAUGAGUGUUGUGUGAUAGUUUGUUUGUGUUCUGACAAAUAAAGCUUGCCUGGAGAUCAGAGAAUCUGAGCAGCCACAGUCACAUCUUACCUCUAUGAAUCCCCUGACUGAAUGGAGGAGAUCCUGUCUCUACCUGCCUUAUAUUCCUGUCUCUACCUCCUGAUGAUGCUGGGAUUAAAGGCAUGAGCCUCCCAUGUGCUGAGAUUAGAGGAGUGCACCACUACCACCUGGCUCUGUUUCUCUUUUAGACUGGUUCAAUCUCCUAUAGCCCAAGGUGGCCUUGAACUUCUAAUUUCCCUGAUUCCUUUUUCCAAGUGCUGGGAUUAAAGGUGUGUGUCACCACUGCCCGGUCUCUAUGGUUAACUAAUGGCUAGCUCCAUGAUUCAAUUUCCAGGAAAGCUUUAUUUGUCAGAGCACAUACAACACAUGAGUGGGGGAUCUGCAUGCUGAAGAAGCAGAAAACUAGGUAAUGCCCAAUCCAAGAAACUCAGCUGCCUCAGUAUGGUGCUGAAGGACUGGAAAACUACGUAGAGUCAGUGGUGCUGAAUCAAGUUGUAAGAUGGAAGAAACUAGAGUUCAUUAUGAUCACCAUCACCCUGACUACCCCACCAUCAUCAUCAUGACCGACAUCAUCAUCAUGAUCAUCAUCAUAAGCAGCAGCAGCAAUGCAUGCACUUGUUCAUAAAGAAGCUUGUAGGUGUAGCUAAUUCCUUUUGUUUUUGUUUUUCCAUGCAGUCACCUGGUAUAAUUCAUGUACACGCUGAAGGCGUAUUCUUUUGCCCCAGUUACUGCCCUACAAAACACUCUGCUGUGGAAACACUCACACAAACAAAGGUGUGUUUCAUCAGUCCUGGAUAACUCUUAAUCCAGUCAGGUUAACAGCCAAGACCAGCUAACAAUCACAAUACCCUAUGCUGGGAUGAGGUUGCAAGGGAUGAGUAGCUUGGCUCAUAGGUGGAUAGAGGACUUGAAUAGGUUUUUAUCCACAUGACUGUAAAGAUGGCUGACAGGUAUAUGAGAAUGUGUUCAAUAUCAUCACUAAUCUCACUCUGUUAUUUUUCAAGGUCUGCAAAAUACAAGCCAACACAAGCAAGCAGUAACUUGUAGCUUACAAGAGGCAAUAGGCAAUAAGAUCUAUCUUGAGUAUUGUGCUGAGAGUAUGGCUCAUAAUUAACUACGUAGUCAAUUUAAUUUUGUUAAGCAACA